ACAAGACGGCCAUUUAUUACCUACCUUCAAAGCCAAAAGUAGCGGUACCUGUGCCCUAAUAUAUGCAACAUUGUUGCGAGUGUAUAUAAAUACUCCUCAGCAAAUCACUAUCAUCAACAGUCAUUCUUUUACAUUGUAUCAUUGCACAAAUUUCAUAUUUAGUGAAUUGUUUACCUUGAUUUAAAUUCAAACAAACAUCAAUAUGCAGAUUAUGUACUUCAUCGGUUUCGCGGUUAUGACGAUUUUAGCUACUAGUCUAAUGGUGAUGGCCAUACCAAAGCCCAUCAGUCAAGGAGCGCUUGCAUCAUUAGCUGGCAAAUGAAGAUGCGUUUCAGCGUUUCAACUGAUCAACUGUUUAUCUGAUUCCUGCUUAAGUAUGUAGGUAUUCUAAUCUAUGCUUUACCUAUAUGAUUUUAAACUGAAACCUAUCUAUUAGUAUUUAACCCAAAUUAAGCAAUAUUAUGUGCGCACAUAUUUUCAAUUUAUUUAAAUAAAAAGUUCAAGCAUUA
Molecule: long non-coding RNA, 509 nt
Organism: Planococcus citri (citrus mealybug)
Lineage: Eukaryota; Metazoa; Arthropoda; Insecta; Hemiptera; Pseudococcidae
Exons: 2
Source: RefSeq, a predicted model, not a curated record